Molecule: long non-coding RNA, 1220 nt
Organism: Cyprinus carpio (common carp)
Lineage: Eukaryota; Metazoa; Chordata; Actinopteri; Cypriniformes; Cyprinidae
Source: Ensembl
GUCUAUUAAUCGACCAGCCCAUAGCAGAAAUUGUGUCAUGAAACGAUUUCAAGUCAAUAAAAAUUCAUCAGCAAUGUGGGGCAGAACAGAUAAAGCCAUCUCCUCAUCCUCCAUAUGUAUUUCUCAUGGUAAAUUUGUAGAUUAAUCAACUGUAUUAACUGAAUAUUAUGAUCACUGCAUGUCUUUGAGCUAAAAUUGAAUGCGUAUUUGUUUUGUAAAAUGCUGUUCUCAUGCCGUGCAUUCUUACAUCCACAUGACAUCUUCUGUAAUUUGAAUAUCUGGAUGUUAGUCAAGCAUGACAACAAAACAAACAAAUACAUGCACUUGCUCCGGUGGCACCUAACAGCAUUUUCCUCGAGUGUGCAACAAGGGCUAAAUAUGUCUUAGCAAAGGUCAGGCUAUGAUUUGUUAUGAGAGCACUCGUGGGGAAUUCUGAUGCACACUGAUCAAUCCCACACCCCUUGACACGCACAUAAAUCAAUGCUGUAUCAAGAAAAGCCCUCCCACUGUACAAGACGAGAGCAGGGCGACGUGAUAAAUCCCGUAUUCGCCAUUUUCUGCCCCCUCCUCCACCUCUAAGAUCCAGGCCCGCUAAUAGAUCACAAUACGCCGGCCUUGCUGUUCUGUUUGGUGGUGUGAAAAAAAGAAAAUCCCCUAUGCGCUAACACUCUUUGGCGUUGAUGGCUUAUUACCAGGCGCUGUGAUUUGACGGGAUGUGUUCAAGGAUCUCCUGUGCGGAGGAAAAGCGUGCCGAGCUUCAUUUCCUCCUGUGAGACAGCCAUGCCCUGAGAAUAAGUGGAUGACACUCAGACAUUGUUUUCGUGUGCUGGUGAUGUGCUGGUAGAGCUGACCCUUAGUACAGCUUCCUACUCUGACAGCCAGGGGCCGUGAGGGGCCGUUAAGGGCCAUGUGGGCCCGGCUGCAGCUGCUCCACUCUCCUUGCCCACUCAGCAGGCACACUGUGCCCUUUGAGCCCACCUGCCAUUCAAUCCAGCACAGAUGUGCCCUCAGCUGUUCUCUGUGCCAUUACUGCUCCCUGCACUUUUUAUCCUGCACCUCGGAGACCCCAAACUGCCAAACGAGGUGAAUUAUGGCCAGUUAUAUGGAGUGGACUCUGAGCCACGGGGGACAGGACAUAGUCAGAAGAACUAACCACAGUUCUGACCAUUAAAAGCCAGCCUGACACUGGCCCUUCAUCUUUCCUCCUCCACGAGACGAGU